This is a small nuclear RNA of Ochotona curzoniae (black-lipped pika), 107 nucleotides long. The record is from RefSeq and is a predicted model, not a curated record. Lineage: Eukaryota; Metazoa; Chordata; Mammalia; Lagomorpha; Ochotonidae.
GUGCUCAUUUCGACCGCACAUAUACUGAAGCUGGAACAAUACAGAGAAAAUUAGUAUGGCCCCUGUGAAAGGAUAACAUGCCAAGAAUUGGUUCAUUUCCAAAUAUU